This 2046-nucleotide long non-coding RNA is filed under the name Canis lupus familiaris (dog). RNAcentral's name for it is "lncRNA (ENSCAFG00040015045.1)". Lineage: Eukaryota; Metazoa; Chordata; Mammalia; Carnivora; Canidae. The record is from RNAcentral.
CGGGGGGCAGGUGGGGAGCAGCCGGGGGGCAGCCGGGGGGCAGGCGUGGAGCAGCCGGGGAGCAGCCGGAGGGGGGGCAGCCGGGGGACAGCCGGGGAGCAGCCGGGGAGCAGCCGGGGGGCAGCCGGGGGUGGGGGGGCAGGCGGGGCCUGGCGGGCCGCGCGCGGGGUCUCCGGGACCAAGACCUGGAAGCGGGUGCGCAGGGCGCGCUGGUCCUCCCCAGGGUCCCCGCGGCAGCGGCGGGCGCCGGACAAGGGUCCACCCGAGCGCGUCGCCGGGGUGGGGGGCGGCGACAGCGCGCGCCCAGGGCCCCUCCCGGCCCGGCGGGACCCGCACCCCGCCUCGCCGAGGAGGCCGCGGGCCGCCGGGUCAGGGGGCGUCGGGGCCGCGGAGGGAGGCCGGGCGCGUGGCGCGGGACCCCGUCGCCGACCCGGGCGCCCGCCGCUGCAGGGGCUCCCCGGCCGCACAGCGCAGCACCCCCGGGCCGGGUCACCCCGAGUCGCGCUGGUCGGGCCCCCGCGCCGCCCCCCGCGCACGGCGCACACACGGGGGGGGCGACGCCUCGCUCCUCGGGCGGGGACACUGCGGCCUCCCGCAGCCGCCCCCCGCGGCCAGCCGCGCCCUCCCCGCUCACACCGGCGGCGACCGCAGCCCCGGGAACUCGAGGACCCGAGGCGCGGCUCCGAGCUCCGAGGGUCUCCGGGCCAGUGUCGGCGCGUCCCCAGCUCGCGGCCGCGGUCCCCGGGACGCCUCCCCCUGGCGGCCGGGUCCUCGGCCCACCCGCCCCUGCGCCCCCGCCCCACGCCCGCGUCCCGCGCUGUCACCUGCUCCUCGUCCAGAAGAGCCGGGGCCGGAGCCCACCCCGCGGCCGCCCGCCACUGGCCGCCGCGAGCCUGUCUGCUUGGGCCCCGCUCCGCCGGGCCGGCUGUUCCCCGGGCCCGAUUCCGCCGCGGCGACGGGGAUCCUAAUAGGAAGCCGACAGCCACCUCCGCGGGCGAGGCCCGAGGCUGCGACCGCAGGGACCCGCCGACCCGGGGUCCUGCCGCGCCGUCCCCGCGCCCCCGCGGCCCGGAGCGAGGGUGCCGCCCGCCUGGACCGCGGACAUCCCCGCGCACUCCCGCCGCCGCCACAGACGCGAUCGGUCGCCGCGGGGAGGGAGGGAGGGACGCAGGGGGGAGGGGGGAGGGAGGGAGGGAGGGGCGCCGGGGACCGUGUCCCGGGUCCGUCCGGAGCCGCCGGCGCAGCGUCCCGGGAGGCCCGGGGCGGCCGCCCAGGGCCGCGCUCCCUACCUCGGCGCGGCGCGGUCGGAACAGCGGCAAGUUCGGCCGCGGCUGGAGCCCCCGCCUGAUGCAGCCCGUGCGGGCCGCGACACAAAAGGGAGAGCGCCCGCGCCCGCGCUCCGCCGCCCCCCGCCCCGGCCGGAGCCCGGCACAUGACAGCGGCUGCACCGCGCGGCUCCGACGCGACUCGGGCUCCAGCCGUGCGCCCCGAGAGCUGCCCCUUCCCGGGAGCCCCGAGGCCACGGCUGCGCGCCGGGCCGGGAGCCCUGCGGGGGAACGCGGCGAACCUGGGGGGGGGACCCUGGAGUGCGACCCGCCCCCGGGAGGGCGCCGCAGGAGGGGCGCGGGGCGCGGGGCGGGGGGGCUGAUUGUCGGCGGCGGCUCCCCGGGAUCAUCCCUAAGCACGCGCACGUCACGCAGCCUCCCGGCGGUCCCCGAUCGACCCGCAGGCUGCGCGGACUCCAGGAGGGGGGCGGGCGCGGGGGGAUGCUCACCUCGGGCUCCUCCGGCCGCCGCUCCGGGUCCGAGGCGGGGUGGGGGAAGGGGGCAGGGAAGGGGAAGGGAGGGAGGAGGCUCCGAGACCGACUCCUGCCGCGAGUUCCGCGCGUCCCGGCUGCGGAGGGGACCGGGCGCCCCAGCGCAGACCCAGCCGCGAGGGGAGGAGGGAGGGAGGGGAGGGAGGGGCGGGCGGGGGGGAGGGAGUAGAGGAAGGAAAAAAAAACCCGAUCCCUGCUCUGACACAGGGAAAGAGAAUGUAGGCGAGUGA